ACGCCUACACUACCUGCCGGAUUGGCGGGUAACGAUUGAUCUAUCGGGGAUCGAUUUAUCGCGUGUAAUGUAGACGCGAUAAAUCGAUCCCCGAUCCCUCUCCUGUCGACUGCCUGCUCGGUGAGAGGUGGAAGCAAAGUCAACGGGGGAGCGGCAGCUAUCGAUCCCGCGCCACGAGGACACGAAGUCUUUUCCAUAGAGGUUGUGUUUCCCUGCUACAUAGCUGAGAAUGGCUCUGGUCUGCACCAUCUUUAUCCCAUCAAUGUCCACCAUGGGCACUUGUUGAAACAGCAGGGCUCCAUCUUUGGAAAGGAAAAAUAACGUCAAGACACUGAGUCCCCAUAACUGUCAUGUCAUUGCACUGGAACCCUAGUAGCUGACUGGGGCCUGGUGCUGUUCUCCACAUAAGUCAAUGGGAUGUGUGACAGAGCUUUCAAUGUGAGCAGGAUUGGGUGCUAAUAUUUCUACAUUUGAGAGACACUGAAAUUCUACUGUGCUAAGCAGGUGUAUAUAAUAAAAUGUUGUCACUUAUUGCACAGAA
Molecule: long non-coding RNA, 541 nt
Organism: Trachemys scripta elegans
Lineage: Eukaryota; Metazoa; Chordata; Testudines; Emydidae
Exons: 2
Source: RefSeq, a predicted model, not a curated record